UACAGAGGGUGCAAGCGUUAAUCGGAAUUACUGGGCGUAAAGCGCUCGUAGGCGGAUACCUAAGUCGAUUGUGAAAGCCCUGGGCUUAACCUGGGAACUGCAGUCGAUACUGGGUGUCUAGAGUAUGAUAGAGGAUAGUGGAAUUCCCGGUGUAGCAGUGAAAUGCGUAGAUAUCGGGAGGAACACCAGUGGCGAAGGCGACUUUCUGGAUCAAUACUGACGCUGAGGAGCGAAAGCGUGGGGAGCAAACAGG
Molecule: ribosomal RNA, 253 nt
Filed under: uncultured bacterium
Lineage: Bacteria
Description: partial 16S ribosomal RNA
Rfam family: Bacterial small subunit ribosomal RNA
Source: RNAcentral